GCUGAUAGAUCUGUGCAUCACCCUGGCCCUCUAGUGGUCACAUAGUAACUAUUGGCCUCAUUUCAAGCUGUACACAGAGGGCUAUCAGGUACCGCCGGGGGCUACAUACACAGCGAUUGAAGCACCUAAGGUAAGCUAAUAGAUCUGUGCAUCACCCUGGCCCUCUAGUGGUCACAUAGUAACUAUUGGCCUCAUUUCAAGCUGUACACAGAGGGCUAUCAGGUACUGCCGGGGGCUACAUACACAGCGAUUGAAGCACCUAAGGUAAGCUAAUAGAUCUGUGCAUCACCCUGGCCCUCUAGUGGUCACAUAGUCACUAUUGGCCUCAUUUCAAGCUGUACACAGAGGGCUAUCAGGUACCGCCGGGGGCUACAUACACAGCGAUUGAAGCACCUAAGGGUGAGUUUGGUGUGUAUUUGGUCUCCAAUGGAUCCAGUCGACCGUACCGUUGUAAGAUCAAAGCUCCAGGUUUUGCUCAUCUUGCGGGACUGGACAUGGUGUCUAAGGUACACAUGCUGGCUGAUGCAGUAGCUAUUAUUGGAACUUUGGAUGUUGUGUUUGGAGAGAUUGAUCGUUAGCUACAGCAUCGGAAGAAGUAUUUUUUGGGGGGUUGCUAUUUGCAACACGGCACAAACCAUCACCAGAGUUCAGCAUCACCAGAGUUAUUACACGGCCAUCUAUGGCAAAAUUAAACCAUUUAUAAUCUGAUGUUGCCAUUAUUGAAUCAAACUAGGAUGAUUAAAUCAACAAAACCAUUUCUCACCACUCUUUUUCUUUUGCCUUUUUAAACUUGAUCUCCUCCAAUCAAUGUCACAUUCUUGUAUGGAUUCUGUGCAUAACUUCACCUCUCAGUGAUGAUAAUGUAAACUAUACUGUGUGCACCCAUGCUUAGGAGUGCUCCUCUUACCUCAAAAGGCUAAACGUUUGUGCACAUUAAAUAUUUUCAAUUGUUUACUAGUUGUGCACCACACUGAAUAUGGACUUGUGAUAUACUCUAGCCUGGGUAUCAUAGGUCACAGAGUGUCAUCUACAGAUCCAGCAUGGAGUACCUUGUGAAAAAAUUGGAACAUGUUUGUUGUUCUGAAGAAGCCCAAAAGUCAGUGUAACAAAUGUAUAUGCAAUAAAAACUAUAACCUGAUUUGCAAAGAUUGUGUGGUAGAAUAAGAAUAGUGAUGCUGAAAUUGUAAAUAUUUAUUUCUUACCGGGUUUGCUUCUGACCAUGCUCCAUGACCCUUAUUUACAUAGGUCAUUAUUUAAGUUCAGUUGUGCCUCUGUGGAAAUGAACCAGAAUCAUAAAUUUGCAGUUGGUGUCUGACCCCAGGAAGAACUUGUUGAUUUCCCAGAUAUUAAAGUCUUAGAUUUCUAAUAUAGAAGUGAAGUUUCAAACUAAAUCUGCUUUUAUAGCAUCUUGCAUUAAUUGAUUGUUUUUGUACCAAACUAUAAAACAGAACAUAUCACCAGAAGUAAAUAAGUAGCGAAAAGGCAAAAUUGGGAAGGUUAUUUACCCAUGCUAUUUCCAUUUACCCAUGCUAUUUCCAACCAUGCAACUAGGAAUUUAGGAAAAAAUGAGGAACUCCAAACCACACAAGACUUUGUAUAGUGUUUUUCAAUUUGAAAUGGCAUUCAUGAGAAGUAAAAAAUUCUCGUCGCCAAUUAUCAAUCCGACUCAUUUUCGUGGAGAGGCUCUUCAUUUGUCAUUCAUUUAAGAAAUUAGAAAACUGGCAAAAAGUCUGACGUUCAGAAUACUUAAAAUUUGUAAAGACAUACUAAAUAGAAAAAUAAAUAUGAAUUUGAAUUGUUUGAAGAAAACAA
Molecule: long non-coding RNA, 1812 nt
Filed under: Patiria miniata (bat star)
Lineage: Eukaryota; Metazoa; Echinodermata; Asteroidea; Valvatida; Asterinidae
Description: uncharacterized LOC119735959
Source: RNAcentral